Molecule: ribosomal RNA, 292 nt
Filed under: uncultured bacterium
Lineage: Bacteria
Description: partial 16S ribosomal RNA
Rfam family: Bacterial small subunit ribosomal RNA
Source: RNAcentral
GUGCCAGCCGCCGCGGUAAUACGAACUGUGCGAACGUUAUUCGGAAUCACUGGGCUUAAAGGGUGCGUAGGCGGCUGCCUAAGUCAGGUGUGAAAUCUCUCGGCUCAACCGGGAAACUGCGCUUGAUACUGGGCGGCUCGAGUGAGGUAGGGGUGUGUGGAACUUCCGGUGGAGCGGUGAAAUGUGUAGAUAUCGGAAGGAACGCCAGCAGCGAAAGCGGCACACUGGGCCUUUUCUGACGCUGAGGCACGAAAGCCAGGGGAGCGAACGGGAUUAGAUACCCCAGUAGUCC